AACGAACGCCGGCGGCACGCCUAACACAUGCAAGUCGCACGAGAAAGUCCCCGCAAGGGGACCGGUAAAGUGGCAGACGGGUGAGUAACGCGUGGGUAACCUACCCUCGAGUGGGGGGAUAACCCCGCGAAAGCGGGGCGUAAUACCGCAUAACAUCCCGGAACGCGAGUUUCGGGAUCGAAGGUGGCUCUCAAGAGCUACCGCUCGGGGAGGGGCUCACGUUCCAUCAGCUAGUUGGUGGGGUAACGGCCUACCAAGGCGGUGACGGAUAGCUGGUCUGAGAGGACGACCAGCCACACUGGCACUGAGACACGGGCCAGACUCCUACGGGAGGCAGCAGUGAGGAAUCUUGCGCAAUGGACGAAAGUCUGACGCAGCGAUGCCGCGUGGGGAUGAAGGCC
Molecule: ribosomal RNA, 401 nt
Filed under: uncultured bacterium
Lineage: Bacteria
Description: bacterial SSU rRNA
Rfam family: Bacterial small subunit ribosomal RNA
Source: RNAcentral